GGAAAGGAACGUUUGAAAACAUUUAAAAGUCGAACUUCCUCGACCGGUGAUGAAACUUAACCUCCCGGUGUUCCUUGACUCAGAAGCAAAGGGGGCAUCCCUGUUGGAUCACAGUGAAUUGCACUCUGUACUCCAGACGCCUUGCAUUUUAAAUGAGGUCACCUUGGAGGGUGGCUGCAGUCUUCAAAGCAAUCUCAACCUACCUGCCAUUUACUUCUGGAAGGUUUUUGUUUUUUUUUUCAUAAGAAAUUCUGACUGCUUGCAAGAGUCCUUCAGAACAUACAAAGAAAGCAACCUCUAGAAACCUAAACUGAUGUUUAGGAAAAUAACUUGGCAAACUAUUUGUUAAGGAUGUUUCAUGGGUGUAUUAUUAAUGACCAACAAAACUGCAGGAGAGCAAGAGGAUGGGACGUAGAGUAAUGCAGCUGCUGUCAGAUAAUGCCAUCGCUAUUCCUGGGCUUGCAGGCAUCUCAUCUGAAUGAACGCAUUUCCAGUGCUGUCCUCAAAGAGAGCCGGGAGCUCUGGGAACAGGACACAUAAC
Molecule: long non-coding RNA, 541 nt
Organism: Acipenser ruthenus (sterlet)
Lineage: Eukaryota; Metazoa; Chordata; Actinopteri; Acipenseriformes; Acipenseridae
Exons: 4
Source: RefSeq, a predicted model, not a curated record